Long non-coding RNA from Amphiprion ocellaris (clown anemonefish), 1746 nucleotides. The record is from Ensembl. Lineage: Eukaryota; Metazoa; Chordata; Actinopteri; Pomacentridae.
UUCAGAUGCUGAGAGAUCAAGUGGUGGACGUCCAUAGAGGAGAGGUGAGUUAGACAUUGUCACACAUUGCAGACAGUAGACUUUGUUCUUUUACUCAUGUGUUUAUUGUGUUUGAUUGUUUCAGAUCAUGAGAGAUCAAGUGGUGGACGUCCAGAGAGGAGAGGUGAGUUAGAAACAUGCACAUUGUCAGUCAUUGUAGACAGUAGACUUUGUUGCUUUACUUAUGUGUUUCUUGUGUUUGAUGUUUCAGAUCCUGAGAGACCAAGCGGUGGACGUCCAGAGAGGAGAGGUGAGUUACACAUUGUCACACAUUGCUGCUUUAUUCAUGUGUUUGUUUUUUUCAGAUGCUGAGAGACCAAGCGGUGGACGUCCAGAGAGGAGAGGUGAGUUAGAAACAUGCACAUUGUCAGUCAUUGUAGACAGUAGACUUUUUUGCUUUACUUAUGUGUUUCUUGUGUUUGAUUGUUUCAGAUCCUGAGAGACCAAGUGGUGGACGUCCAGAGAGGAGAGGUGAGUUAGACAUUGUCACACAUUGCUGCUUUAUUCAUGUGUUUGAUUGUUUCAGAUGCUGAGAGACCAAGCGGUGGACGUCCAGAGAGGAGAGAUCCUGAGAGACCAAGUGGUGGACGUCCAGAGAGGAGAGGUGAGUUAGAAACAUGCACAGUGUAGGUGAUGGGUGUUUUGAGUUUGAUUCAUUGCUUUGUCAUAGAUUGAAGACAUGGGACUUUGAUCAUAUUUGUCUUUUAUUUGUUUCAGGAGGUUGACAGAGACAGACAGAGGUGAGUUACAACAAGGAAAUGUUAUGUAUGGUGUCACACAUUGAAGACAGCGUUGUUGAUUGUUUGCUUUUGUGUUCAUGUCUUUUAGGAGGUGUCAGAGGAUGUGCUGUGGAAGCUCUUCUUCUUCUUCUUCUUCUUCUUCUUCUUCUUCUUCUUCUUCUUCUUCUUCUUCUUCUUCUUCUUCUUCUUCUUCUUCUUCUUCUUCUUCUUCUUCUUCUUCUUCUUCUUCUUCUUCUUCUUCUUCUUCUUCUUCUUCUUCUUCUUCUUCUUCUUCUUCUUCUUCUUCUUCUUCUUCUUCUUCUUCUUCUUCUUAAUGGAAUUUCACCUAAAUAAAAAAAAAAAAAAAAAAAAAAGAGUCCAAACUGCAUUGUCGUCAAUUUUUCUGAAAAACAAAGAGGAAAGUGUGAAGAGAGAGAAAAGUAGGAAAGAGGAAAAGAGUAAAGUGUGAGAAAAAAGCAAAGAGAGAAGAGAGGAAAAAGAAGAAAGUUUAAGGAAAGAACAAAGAGAAAAAGAACAAAGUGUGAGGAAAGAGGAUAGAGGAAAAAAGACUAAGUGUGAGAGAAAAGAGGAUAGAGGAAAAAAAGACUAAGUGUGAGAGAAAAGGGGAUAGAGGAAAAAAAGACUAAGUGUGAGAGAAAAGGGGAUAGAGGAAAAAAAGACUAAGUGUGAGAGAAAAGGGGAUAGAGGAAAAAAAGACUAAUGAGAGAAAAGGGGAUAGAGGAAAAAAAGACUAAGUGUGAAAGGAAAAAAAGACUAAGGAAAGAGUGAGGAAAGAGGAAAAAGAACAAAGUGCUGCUUUACUCUUGUGUUUGAUUGUUUCAGAUGCUGAGAGAUCAAGCGGUGGACGUUCAUAGAGGAGAGAUCCUGAGAGAUCAAGUGGUGGACGUCCAGAGAGGAGAGAUCCUGAGAGAUCAAGUGGUGGACGUCCAGAGAGGAGAGGUCCUGAGAGAUCAAGUGGUGGACGUCC